AGAGUUUGAUCAUGGCUCAGAGCGAACGCUGGCGGCAGGCUUAACACAUGCAAGUCGAGCGGGCACCUUCGGGUGUCAGUGGCAGACGGGUGAGUAACGCGUGGGAACGUGCCCUUCAGUUCGGAAUAACCCAGGGAAACUUGGGCUAAUACCGGAUACGUCCGAAAGGAGAAAGAUUGAUCGCUGAAGGAUCGGCCCGCGUCUGAUUAGCUGGUUGGUGGGGUAAUGGCCCACCAAGGCGACGAUCAGUAGCUGGUCUGAGAGGAUGAUCAGCCACAUUGGGACUGAGACACGGCCCAAACUCCUACGGGAGGCAGCAGUGGGGAAUAUUGGACAAUGGGCGCAAGCCUGAUCCAGCCAUGCCGCGUGAGUGAUGAAGGCCUUAGGGUUGUAAAGCUCUUUCGGCGGGGACGAUAAUGACGGUACCCGCAGAAGAAGCCCCGGCUAACUUCGUGCCAGCAGCCGCGGUAAUACGAAGGGGGCUAGCGUUGUUCGGAAUCACUGGGCGUAAAGGGCGCGUAGGCGGCUUUGUCAGUCGGGGGUGAAAGCCUGUGGCUCAACCACAGAAUUGCCUUCGAUACUGCAUGGCUUGAGACCGGAAGAGGUUAGUGGAACUGCGAGUGUAGAGGUGAAAUUCGUAGAUAUUCGCAAGAACACCAGUGGCGAAGGCGGCUGACUGGUCCGGUUCUGACGCUGAGGCGCGAAAGCGUGGGGAGCAAACAGGAUUAGAUACCCUAGUAGUCC
This 744-nucleotide ribosomal RNA is filed under the name uncultured bacterium. RNAcentral describes it as "bacterial SSU rRNA". It matches the Rfam family "Bacterial small subunit ribosomal RNA", at positions 8 to 796 of the family's 1533-position model. The record is from RNAcentral.